GAUGAACGCUGGCGGCGUGCCUAAUACAUGCAAGUCGAGCGAACGGACGAGAAGCUUGCUUUUCUGAUGUUAGCGGCGGACGGGUGAGUAACACGUGGAUAACCUACCUAUAAGACUGGGAUAACUUCGGGAAACCGGAGCUAAUACCGGAUAAUAUUUUGAACCGCAUGGUUCAAAAGUGAAAGACGGUCUUGCUGUCACUUAUAGAUGGAUCCGCGCUGCAUUAGCUAGUUGGUAAGGUAACGGCUUACCAAGGCAACGAUGCAUAGCCGACCUGAGAGGGUGAUCGGCCACACUGGAACUGAGACACGGUCCAGACUCCUACGGGAGGCAGCAGUAGGGAAUCUUCCGCAAUGGGCGAAAGCCUGACGGAGCAACGCCGCGUGAGUGAUGAAGGUCUUCGGAUCGUAAAACUCUGUUAUUAGGGAAGAUCAUAUGUGUAAGUAACUGUGCACAUCUUGACGGUACCUAAUCAGAAAGCCACGGCUAACUACGUG
This 497-nucleotide ribosomal RNA is filed under the name uncultured bacterium. Its description in RNAcentral is "partial 16S ribosomal RNA". It matches the Rfam family "Bacterial small subunit ribosomal RNA", at positions 28 to 507 of the family's 1533-position model. The record is from RNAcentral.